UUAACGGCCGCGGCACUAAAACCGUGCAAAGGUAGCACAAUCACUUGUCCCUUAAAUGAGGACCCGUAUGAAAGGCAACAUGAGAGAAGACCUGUCUCCUAAGGCCAGCCAAUGAAAUUGAACUGCCAGUACAAAAGCUGGUAUUUACAAGCAAGACAAAAAGACCCUAUGGAACUUUAACAAAUUAUUUAUAUAACAUAAAUUAUAGUUUCAGUUGGGACAACUUUAGAGAAAAUUAACCUCUUAAUAAUACACAGACCAACAAGUCUAACCUCCCGACCCAGUCACACUGAUUAACGAAACAAGCUACCCUAGGGAUAACAGCGCCACCUUCUCAAAGAGUCCAUAUCAACAAGAAGAUCUACGACCUCGAUGUUGGAUCAGGGUACCCUGACGGUGCAGCAGCUGCUAACGGUUCGUUUGUUCAACGAUUAAU
Molecule: ribosomal RNA, 436 nt
Filed under: Bradypodion kentanicum
Lineage: Eukaryota; Metazoa; Chordata; Lepidosauria; Squamata; Chamaeleonidae
Description: partial 16S ribosomal RNA
Rfam family: Bacterial large subunit ribosomal RNA
Source: RNAcentral